CUGGGUUUGACAUCCCGCGAAUCCCUAUGAAAUUAGGGAGUGCCCUUCGGGGAACGCGGAGACAGGUGCUGCAUGGCUGUCGUCAGCUCGUGCCGUGAGGUGUUGGGUUAAGUCCCGCAACGAGCGCAACCCUUGUUGCCAGUUGCUACCAGGUAAUGCUGGGCACUCUGGCGAGACUGCCCGGGUCAACCGGGAGGAAGGUGGGGACGACGUCAAGUCAUCAUGGCCCUUACAUCCAGGGCUACACACGUACUACAAUGGCAGGUACAAAGGGUUGCCAAGCCGCGAGGCCGCGCUAAUCCUAGAAAGCCUGUCUCAGUCCGGAUUGCAGUCUGCAACUCGACUGCAUGAAGCUGGAAUCGCUAGUAAUCCCGGAUCAGCAUGCCGGGGUGAAUACGUUCCC
This 403-nucleotide ribosomal RNA is filed under the name uncultured Desulfovibrio sp. Its description in RNAcentral is "bacterial SSU rRNA". It matches the Rfam family "Bacterial small subunit ribosomal RNA", at positions 975 to 1375 of the family's 1533-position model. Lineage: Bacteria; Pseudomonadati; Thermodesulfobacteriota; Desulfovibrionia; Desulfovibrionales; Desulfovibrionaceae. The record is from RNAcentral.